UGAUUCCAGUCGCUCAUCGGCUCUCAAAGGGGAACAGCCUUUGGAGAUUGGCGAUCGCGCCAAUUGGGGAAAGUGCAGUGCAAGUCUGCCGCUGUCCCGCAACUGUGAAGUUGGGCAAGACACCCCGCCCGACCAGUCAGGAUGCCCGCCGAUGCGCUAUUUCGCAA
This is a non-coding RNA of Leptolyngbya sp. O-77, 167 nucleotides long. NCBI's taxonomy places the organism in Bacteria, Bacillati, Cyanobacteriota, Cyanophyceae, Leptolyngbyales, Leptolyngbyaceae. The record is from Rfam.